RNAcentral lists this ribosomal RNA (460 nucleotides) under uncultured bacterium. RNAcentral's name for it is "partial 16S ribosomal RNA". It matches the Rfam family "Bacterial small subunit ribosomal RNA", at positions 338 to 795 of the family's 1533-position model. The record is from RNAcentral.
CCUACGGGAGACAGCAGUGAGGAAUAUUGGUCAAUGGGCGGGAGCCUGAACCAGCCAAGUCGCGUGAAGGACGACGGUCCUAUGGAUUGUAAACCUCUUUAGGCGGGGGGCAAUGCCGGGCACGCGUGCCCGGCGGGAGAGUACCCGCAGAAUAAGCAUCGGCUAACUGCGUGCCAGCAGCCGCGGUAAUACGGAGGAUGCGAGCGUUAUCCGGAUUUAUUGGGUUAAAAGGGUGCGUAGGCUGAUGUUUAAGUCAGCGGUAAAAUGUCCGGGCUCAACCCGGGCCGGCCGUUGAAACUGGGGUUCUUGAGUGGGCGAGAAGUAUGCGGAAUGCGUGGUGUAGCGGUGAAAUGCAUAGAUAUCACGCAGAACUCCGAUUGCGAAGGCAGCAUACCGGCGCCCGACUGACGCUGAGGCACGAAAGCGUGGGGAUCGAACAGGAUUAGAUACCCGAGUAGUC